CCUACGGGAGGCAGCAGUGAGGAAUAUUGGUCAAUGGCCGGAAGGCUGAACCAGCCAAGCCGCGUGAAGGACGAAGGUGCCAAGCAUUGUAAACUUCUUUUGUCAAGGGACAAAAUCAGGCUCGAGAGCCUGACCGAGGGUACUUGAAGAAAAAGCAUCGGCUAACUCCGUGCCAGCAGCCGCGGUAAUACGGAGGGGGCGAGUGUUAAUCGGAAUUACUGGGCGUAAAGAGUACGUAGGUGGUUUUGUAAGCGCGGGGUGAAAGGCAGUGGCUUAACCAUUGUAAGCCUUGCGAACUGCAAGACUUGAGUGCAGGAGAGGAAAGCGGAAUUCCUAGUGUAGCGGUGAAAUGCUUAGAUAUUAGGAGGAACACCGGUGGCGAAGGCGGCCUGCUGGACUGCAACUGACGUUGAGGCCCGAAAGCGUGGGGAGCAAACAGGAUUAGAUACCCCAGUAGUC
RNAcentral lists this ribosomal RNA (459 nucleotides) under uncultured bacterium. RNAcentral describes it as "partial 16S ribosomal RNA". It matches the Rfam family "Bacterial small subunit ribosomal RNA", at positions 338 to 795 of the family's 1533-position model. The record is from RNAcentral.